UCCGACUUAACGUCGGCAGUCCUUCUAGAGUGCCCAACUAAAUGCUGGCAACUAAAAGCAAGGGUUGCGCUCGUUGCGGGACUUAACCCAACAUCUCACGACACGAGCUGACGACAGCCAUGCAGCACCUGUGUACCGGCCCUUGCGGGCGACGACAUCUCUGCCAGUCUUCCAGUACAUGUCAAAUCCAGGUAAGGUUCUUCGCGUUGCAUCGAAUUAAACCACAUGCUCCACCGCUUGUGCGGGCCCCCGUCAAUUUCUUUGAGUUUUAGCCUUGCGGCCGUACUCCCCAGGCGGGGCACUUAAUGCGUUAGCUUCGGCACGGAGGGAGUCGACACCCCCCACACCUAGUGCCCAUCGUUUACAGCGUGGACUAC
RNAcentral lists this unclassified non-coding RNA (377 nucleotides) under uncultured bacterium. RNAcentral's name for it is "contains 16S-23S intergenic spacer region". The record is from RNAcentral.